RNA transcript from Alosa sapidissima (American shad), 5884 nucleotides. It is a transcript of the gene named membrane-spanning 4-domains subfamily A member 4A, with no coding region annotated. NCBI's taxonomy places the organism in Eukaryota, Metazoa, Chordata, Actinopteri, Clupeiformes, Clupeidae. The record is from RefSeq and is a predicted model, not a curated record. The transcript has 9 exons.
CUGAUAAGCCCCACAACAACCAACAGUGGUGCAAGAAGAUUAUUCGGUUGAGUGAACUUGUGAGGAGCAUACCACUGAAGAAAGCAGGCCUAACACUGUUGUUCUGAAAGCUAUCCAUUCUAUGUCCAUUCAACGUGAGAUCCUCAAAUUUGGUUGAUUUAGGCUCAUGCAGCAUCCAUCAUCAACAAUGGCCAACUCUCCUACCAAUGGGAUGGUAGUGCUCACCCAUCUGUACCCACAACAAGGUAUUGAAAAUGACCUUUCACACCACACUGGAGUUAUUCAACCAGCUUCCUCUCAGCUCAGAGGGUUCCUAAAGAGAGAGCCAGCUGUCCUAGGAGUCUCCCAACCUGCACAGUGAAACCCCUUCAGAUGAUCCAGAACGUGAUGGCGUGCCUACAGUUCAAAUAAUGACAGGCAUGGUCAUAUUCUUGCUCGGCAUUGUAUCUGCAUUUGUUGGGACAUUAUCCACUUACUUUGGUAUCAUGUUCUGGGGAGCCAUUAUUCAUUUUGUCAUAGCCGCCUCUAAAAGGAUAUGCACUGCAGUAAACAGAACAUCCUUUCUUUCAGUACAUCACAGCUGGUUCACUCACUGUGAGAGCUUCUAAAGAGCUUAAUCAGUGUUUGGUCAACGCAUCACUGGGGAUGAAUAUUGCCAGCACAAUAACUGCAGGACUGGCCAUAAUUCUACACAGCUUUGAUUUCAUUGUCCCAAUGUACCCGAAUUACAGCUGCAGUAAUCAUUAUGAUGAUUAUAGUUGUCUGAGGAACAAAAAAAUGUUCUUGAGCAGGGUAUGGGGGAUGACUGGUGUGUUGCUAGUGUUGUCUGUUCUGGAGUUUAUAGUCUCCUUAUCUGUAUCAGCAUUUGCUUGCGAAGCUACCUGUUCUUCUAACAUUGGACAGGUGAUAUAUAUUUCAAGCCAAGUGCCACCCUCUAUUCCCACUUCCCACCUGCCAACACCUCCAGUAAACACCUCUGAGACACCUAUCUGUCCAGCCAGUGUGGGGCUUCCUGCUCACCUCAGCAGAGCUGACGACUGGGGGAUUGGCAAACCUGAAGAUCCUCCCCCAGAAUACACAGCUACUCAAGACUGAGUCAGACAACAUGUAACAGGAAAGAAUGUGUUUAUCAUGCAAAUAUUAACCUUUCAACUAAAUCUAUCAAUGAAUUAGUAUGCAUGUAUGUAUGCUGUGCAUGAAUGUGAGUUUUCAUACUGAUAGUCUACCCUUAAAGGCGCAGUCGUCGAUCGUACGAGAUUUCAAGCCCAACUAGCGUGCUCCCUGAAAUUAAUGCAAGUAGAUGGCAUUGAAGAAAGCAUGACAAUACAAGAUGUAUUAUUAUAUCAGAAAUGUAUUAGCAAUUGACAUCAAUAUACAUAAGGCAACACAGCACUGGUAAAUCCCAAGAUGUAUUUUUCUCCUUUUUAAAGCAUGAAAAGCUCAUGAAUCACUACCACCUCCUCUUGGAGUUGCUAAUUCUUGUUUUGAGCUUCAAAUUCAAUUCUAUUUACAUUUAUUGAUAUACCAGACUCUUUUAUUCAAAGCAAUCUACAGAACAUAUAGGCAUGCAUUUUCAUCUGUAGCCUGUUUGCCCUUCUAUUCAAUUAUCUUGCUGCUGUUGUUAGCACCCUCACCUUCACCAGUUGCUCUACCAGACGAGUGGAUGUAUGUAAAAUUAGUAUAUAUUUUUGCAAAACUUUAUAUCGCUGAAAUAUUUUGGUACAAAUACUGCAGUAUAACACCUGUUGCAUGAUCAUUACAUGUCAUACAAAUAGUAAUUUCCAUGUCUCUUCUCAGGAUAAUAUUAUGGAUAAUAUAAUUUCUAUUUAUAAGACUGAUGACACAGACUACCUGUGUAUGUUUCAAUAGUGUAGUUUUACCUGAAAACAUCUGAGGUACAUGACUUGAAAAUGUCAGCAUUAGGAAAUACGACAAUAAACAGUAAUUUGCAAUGGAAUCUCAUAAUUCUGAUGAAAUUCCAUCUUCCUCAAAAUCUAAUACAGAAAUUUUAAAUGUGGUCUUUCUGAGACGUUUCUUUCCUUUGCAUUUUGCUUUUUUCAUUAAAGUUGAGAGACUUUGAGAGAAAUAGGCUGUUAUCUAAUGUGCAAAGACGGUUAGGAACACAAAUUGACCCAGUCAGGCCUUACUAUCUGGCUCCCUGUUAUCAAUGGACUGCAGCUGCUGGGGGAGUGAGGCCUAAACCAUGGCUUUUUUGAUAAGGACAUUUCCGAUUCAAAGUGUGGUUGCUUAUAAAAGUUGUGGACAGCACAAAUCCACUCCAUCCAUUAGGUUGAAGGAUAAGGUUUGAACCAAAACAUGAAAGCCCCAAACAGGCACAAGGACAAUUUCUGUCUUUUAGGCACUGGGGAAACUGGACAGGAAAUAACAGCAACUGAGAAUAGGUCUCAAAGCAGCUUUUAUUGACUUCAAAUGCCAUUCAUGAAGGCUUUGGGCUCUAUUUUGACGAUUAGAAACGAGGCGCAAACCUUAUUCGUAUCUUACACUUAGUCAGUGAUGAAUUUUGCGCCAUGCACCUCACUUUUAUUAAGCCUUGUGCCCAGGGGUGUGGCAGAAGGUGUGGUCUGGCGCAUGAUCCAAGAAUCACUAUCUUACACCCUCUAAAAAUCAUUAUGCCACUGACCAAGAAAAACCUGGUCUAUAGAGAAAGGCACAUGUAAAGCACAGCUGAAGACACACUGUCACAAGAUGUAAGCAGCUCUUAGCAAGCAGUCCCAAAUAACUUAACUGCAGGAUAAAUAGCCUUAAGAUUUUUAUUCAGUUUAUUCCAACAUUAUUGGGGUAAGUGUUGCUUUUUUCAUGUUUUCGAUGAUAACCCCUUGUCAGUCAAUAGUGAAAGUAAUUAAAGCUGAUGUCGGCAAGUCUGGCAGAUUGAGGGGCCAAAAUGAAUGUUUUCAACUCUCACGCCCCUCCCCCACUACCACCAAGCACCCUCCCAUCGAGUUUGUGCGAUAUUAUAACAUGCGCGAGGGGGGAUGGGGGGAUCUGUGGUGUGUGCACGAACUGUGAUUGACAGUCAGAUCUCACACAUCCCUGCACUGAUUGGACCAGAAGAACUGGGAGCUGUAUAUUUUUGCAAAACAAAUAACAGGCUCUAGGUGGAGGUAGAAGUGUUUUCUUUCAUUAUACACAGAUACACCUAUCUCAAAGAAGUUUGGAGAUAGGUGGAAUUGAGCAACUGAUGUUUCAGCAUUGAGGACAGUCAUGCCUUUUGACAUGAACCCUGCAAAAUUUUGCCUUGAUUACCGGUGGCUGUUUCCCCAGAAAAUUUCUAGUGGUCUUAAGAAAAAUGGUAGUCAUUGUGUCAUUAGAUAUGAAAGAUGCCUGAACCAGAGUUAAUUUCAGAUGAGUGGGAGAGAUAAUAGGAUAUAACCUAAUAGGCUCAAAAGCAUAGAUCUAAAUAAAGCAAACCUUUGCACCACAUUUUAAUAGACCAGGUCUUUAUUAGGUUUUUUUAUGGCGUGGUUAAACUGGUCCAAUAUUUACAUAGCGUAACUCUGAAAACAAAUGGGUUAGACUUUCUUAUGAUCUAUGUCAGUACAUCAAAAAUACAAAUCACAAUAAAUAGCCAAGUAACAAGUCUAUUAAAACUAAAUCAAACAAAUAUCCAGCACUCAGUAAAGGUGUUUUUUUUCACUAUGUUCAAUAACCUAACUGCAUUUUGAAUUGGAGAUCUGAAGAUUAUCUUUAUAAUUCAGAGCCAAAGUUGCCCUUAACUAGAAAUGGGAAAGUCAUCAUGAACACACAAGUCCUAAUCAGAACUGAAAUGUGUUACGUUUUUAAUAAUAAAAAAAUAAUAAUAACGACUUAUAAUUGCACAGUGUUUUCCAAACUACAGUGCUAAAUCUAUUAUUGCAUAAUUGUGUACAUAAUCUGUUUAAUUGUUACAGGGUAAGGUGAAUGGGAGCUUGAGUUUAUCAGCUGUAGUUAGAAGUAAUCACUACCAUGGACACUUGCCUGAAGUGGGCCUAUUAAAAUCUGGUCACCAUGCUGCUCUAUUGCAGUGGAGCUGAACAGUUGACUCUGUUUACAGUAUGUUUCUAGACAGGUAUUUUGUACCAACAGAGAUUACAACCUUUACCGUCUUUCAAGCAGGAUGAACUAGGUGAUUUUAUAAUCAUUAGAUUAGAGUCGAUACUGAAAAGUUCACCUUACAUAUUUUCUAUUAGCCUAGGACACAUAUAGGACAUACAAAAUGAACCAGCAGUUAGGCCUUCUUCUCAUAAGAGGGAAAUAUUUAAGAUUACAAAAAUAGCUGAUGUAUGCAAAUGAGAGUUGUUAUUAAUACAGAUGUACAAAAAUAUUAUUCCAUUGUGUACAAGCACAAUUAGAUUCUUUACUGUUGAUGAUUACCGUUGAUACUCAAUUGGACACUGUAGGUAUGUUUUCAACCUUACCUCUCUAUCGUCCAUGCAUUACUAUCACUUCUGUGUGUCUCCUUACAUCAGCAACAUAACAGAAAAUCUGUUGUCUGUUAUCUCCACAGACUUACAAGAAAAUCAUAUCAGCAAUACGCACAUGCACAUAGCAUACCAGCAAAUGUUAAAUUCUGAAGGGUAAUAUUUUUUAUAUAUUUUUAUACAUUUUUAUAUGACACAUUCACUCUGUUCUAAAAAGUUUGUGAUUUAAAGCUAUGGUUUAUGAUUAAUUUAGAAGAAAAGUUUUUUGAAGACACUUUUUUUCCCUACAUCUUUUCUUUGCAAUCCACCAGGGGGCAGUCUCCUAUCAGUGUCAUGUGCAGGAGUAGAUUGUGUUUGGUCAAAUCCCUCAUAAAUCACCCUUUUACUGACACAUGACAUACUGACAACUUAAAAGGAAUACUGCCACAUCAUAGUCAUCCUUUUCUACAUUCUUGUUUACCUGCACGGGUGCUCAUUGAAUAAUGCAAGAUCUUUUCAUGGCUCACUUGGAAAAAAGACUUCUGUCUCAAUGUGACUAUCCUGGUUAAAAUAAGGAUAAAUACAAAUACAUAAAAUCUUCACUAAUCAUGAACCCCUGUCUAGCUUUUGCUGGCUACAAGGUCAUCUUAAGACAGAAGAGUUUUAUUUAUUAAAUUCUGUAUGAAUGUCAAGCCUAGUAGUACAAACUAAAGUUUGUAUUAGAAUAAAGAAUGGACUACAGGAACUACAGGUCUCUGUGAACUUCAAUAGUUUAUGAGAAAAAAAGUAUGUGUAAAGAUAUUUUAAUUUCAUUCUUCAAUGUUUAUACUUACAAAUGACAGUUAAGUUGCACAUGAUUGUUUACUUUAGAGUCAGUCGGUUUUCUGUUUUCUAGUUCUAAGUACAGAAAAACACAACCAUUUUAGGGCAUUGAGUAAUUAAUAGCUCACUAAAUACAGCAGACAGAGAUUAUGUUGAAAAUAUUAAUAUUCUUUAAUUACUCAUAGGUAGACAUGUUUUAACAACAGCAAUAUGAUCAACCACACUGUAAGCUCAGAAAGACAUUUUGUUGUAAAUUGGCUUCAAAUGUUUCUGUGUAGGAAAAAUAUUUAAAGCCUUCUGGUCACAUUUCAUCAUGAUUGUUCCAAGAUUCAAAAAAAGUCAUCAAAUGAAUACUAAGUGAAAGAUGGUCUUCAAUCAAACUUGGUUCCACUUCAUUUCCCACAAAAAGCAACAUUCUUGUUUAUGAAUUAUGGCUAUCGUGUGGCAUGUGGGAGUAUUGAGCUAACUCAUCAAUGUUUGCAUUUAAAGUCCAUCAUGUUAAAUUAUCAAACUGAUUUUGCUUAGUUAGUAGAUUAGCUUUAAGACGUUGCACUUUGUAUAACUGAAAUGAAUUAUGGCCCAAAAUGUAAUUUGAUAAACAAUAUUCAGAUGAUUUGUAAAUUCUCUAAAAUGACGAUCCAAAUAAAGGUAACCCCAUUGCUUAA